CCGAGGCACGGGCACAACUUUGCUCCUAUCAGCGGCAAUGACAAUGUUGGACAUUUUGAUUUUGGAGGUCUAAAUAAAACGCAAAAAGACUUUUGAAACAACAUAACAAUGAUAGAAUUUUUCUUUAAUACCUUAUUACAAUCGUUCUCUAAGAGUGGAACUUGGAUCGGACGAGAACUGAAAAUCAGAGCAACUGAAUUCGGAGGAUGGGGAUGCAUAACAUGGUAUUACAAUAGAAGAUUCACCAAAGAGACAACCUUGUAAUCAUGUCUUUAACAAGUAUAUAUUGCAAGCUGAUGGAGGAGAACCAAAGUAUGAAACGAUAUGAACAAAUGGACGAAUGGACUAAAGUCAUGUAGAAGCAGCUCAAAUCCUUGCAUCAGAACCAAGACUGAUUUGAUGAACUUCCAUAACAGUAAGAGGAGAAUCUGGUUCACAAAUUGGCCAAGAGUUGUGAUUGAUUGGAAUAAGGUACAAAGCCAUGGUACAAGAAAUUUGAUUUAUUGUUGGUGAUCCAGUGCAUCCUUCGUCGUGAAGGCUUUGGGACCAACAAAACAGAUUUCUAGGGACAACAGAAGCAUGGAGCUCAAUUAUCUAAAAAAUACUACAUUAUGAAACUAGGACAAGCCAUUUGUUAGUACUUAUUGGUCAUUUCAAGCUCAACUCUCAACACGCCCUACACGUGAGAAGAUAAAGGAAA
Molecule: long non-coding RNA, 700 nt
Filed under: Olea europaea (common olive)
Lineage: Eukaryota; Viridiplantae; Streptophyta; Magnoliopsida; Lamiales; Oleaceae
Description: long non-coding RNA (OEUR_LNC013882)
Source: RNAcentral